CGGCGGACGGGUGAGUAACACGUGGAUAACCUACCUAUAAGACUGGGAUAACUUCGGGAAACCGGAGCUAAUACCGGAUAAUAUAUUGAACCGCAUGGUUCAAUGGUGAAAGACGGUUUUGCUGUCACUUAUAGAUGGAUCCGCGCCGCAUUAGCUAGUUGGUAAGGUAACGGCUUACCAAGGCAACGAUGCGUAGCCGACCUUAGAGGGUGAUCGGCCACACUGGAACUGAGACACGGUCCAGACUCCUACGGGAGGCAGCAGAC
Molecule: ribosomal RNA, 266 nt
Filed under: uncultured Staphylococcus sp.
Lineage: Bacteria; Bacillati; Bacillota; Bacilli; Caryophanales; Staphylococcaceae
Description: partial 16S ribosomal RNA
Rfam family: Bacterial small subunit ribosomal RNA
Source: RNAcentral